AACGAACGCUGGCGGCAUGCCUAACACAUGCAAGUCGAACGAGACCUUCGGGUCUAGUGGCGCACGGGUGCGUAACGCGUUGGAACCUGCCCUUAGGUUCGGAAUAACUCCCCGAAAGGGGUGCUAAUACCGGAUAAUGUCUUCGGACCAAAGAUUUAUCGCCUUUGGAUGGGCCCGCGUUGGAUUAGCUAGUUGGUAGGGUAAAAGCCUACCAAGGCGACGAUCCAUAGCUGGUCUGAGAGGAUGAUCAGCCACACUGGGACUGAGACACGGCCCAGACUACUACGGGAGGCAGCAGUGGGGAAUAUUGGAAAAUGGGCGAAAGCCUGAUCCAGCAAUGCCGCGUGAGUGAUGAAGGCCUUAGGGUUGUAAAGCUCUUUUACCCGGGAUGAUAAUGACAGUACCGGGAGAAUAAGCUCCGGCUAACUCCGUG
Molecule: ribosomal RNA, 433 nt
Filed under: uncultured bacterium
Lineage: Bacteria
Description: partial 16S ribosomal RNA
Rfam family: Bacterial small subunit ribosomal RNA
Source: RNAcentral